This 922-nucleotide ribosomal RNA is filed under the name uncultured bacterium. RNAcentral's name for it is "bacterial SSU rRNA". It matches the Rfam family "Bacterial small subunit ribosomal RNA", at positions 28 to 948 of the family's 1533-position model. The record is from RNAcentral.
AUUGAACGCUGGCGGAAUGCUUUACACAUGCAAGUCGAACGGCAGCACGGGGCAACCUGGUGGCGAGUGGCGAACGGGUGAGUAAUAUAUCGGAACGUGCCCAAUCGUGGGGGAUAACGUAGCGAAAGUUACGCUAAUACCGCAUACGAUCUACGGAUGAAAGCGGGGGAUCGCAAGACCUCGCGCGAAUGGAGCGGCCGAUAUCAGAUUAGGUAGUUGGUGGGGUAAAGGCUCACCAAGCCAACGAUCUGUAGCUGGUCUGAGAGGACGACCAGCCACACUGGAACUGAGACACGGUCCAGACUCCUACGGGAGGCAGCAGUGGGGAAUUUUGGACAAUGGGCGCAAGCCUGAUCCAGCCAUUCCGCGUGCAGGAUGAAGGCCUUCGGGUUGUAAACUGCUUUUGUACGGAACGAAACGGUCUGCCCUAAUACGGCGGGCUAAUGACGGUACCGUAAGAAUAAGCACCGGCUAACUACGUGCCAGCAGCCGCGGUAAUACGUAGGGUGCAAGCGUUAAUCGGAAUUACUGGGCGUAAAGCGUGCGCAGGCGGUUAUAUAAGACAGAUGUGAAAUCCCCGGGCUCAACCUGGGAACUGCAUUUGUGACUGUAUAGCUAGAGUACGGCAGAGGGGGAUGGAAUUCCGCGUGUAGCAGUGAAAUGCGUAGAUAUGCGGAGGAACACCGAUGGCGAAGGCAAUCCCCUGGGCCUGUACUGACGCUCAUGCACGAAAGCGUGGGGAGCAAACAGGAUUAGAUACCCUGGUAGUCCACGCCCUAAACGAUGUCAACUGGUUGUUGGGUCUUCACUGACUCAGUAACGAAGCUAACGCGUGAAGUUGACCGCCUGGGGAGUACGGCCGCAAGGUUGAAACUCCAAGGAAUUGACGGGGACCCGCACAAGCGGUGGAUGAUGUGGUUUA